This 482-nucleotide ribosomal RNA is filed under the name uncultured bacterium. RNAcentral describes it as "bacterial SSU rRNA". It matches the Rfam family "Bacterial small subunit ribosomal RNA", at positions 30 to 506 of the family's 1533-position model. The record is from RNAcentral.
UUGAACGCUGGCGGCAUGCUUUACACAUGCAAGUCGAACGGCAGCGGGGGCUUCGGCCUGCCGGCGAGUGGCGAACGGGUGAGUAAUGCAUCGGAACGUACCCAGUCGUGGGGGAUAACUACGCGAAAGCGUAGCUAAUACCGCAUACGCCCUGAGGGGGAAAGGGGGGGAUCGCAAGACCUCUCGCUUUCGGAGUGGCCGAUAUCGGAUUAGCUAGUUGGUGAGGUAAAGGCUCACCAAGGCGACGAUCCGUAGCUGGUCUGAGAGGACGACCAGCCACACUGGAACUGAGACACGGUCCAGACUCCUACGGGAGGCAGCAGUGGGGAAUUUUGGACAAUGGGCGCAAGCCUGAUCCAGCCAUGCCGCGUGAGUGAAGAAGGCCUUCGGGUUGUAAAGCUCUUUCAGCCGGAAAGAAAUUGCUUCUAUUAAUACUAGGAGUAGAUGACGGUACCGGAAGAAGAAGCACCGGCUAACUACGU